Long non-coding RNA from Gadus morhua (Atlantic cod), 1629 nucleotides. RefSeq lists it as uncharacterized. The record is from RefSeq and is a predicted model, not a curated record. The transcript has 4 exons. Lineage: Eukaryota; Metazoa; Chordata; Actinopteri; Gadiformes; Gadidae.
AGGCCACGGUCUGAUGCCUUGUCAGCAUUGUUCUACUUCUAAUAUCCCCGUAACUGCUCCACCCAAAAUUUUUUAUCCUGUAAGACUUCCCCUCCUCUAUCCCCUUAGCCAAUUCCUCAAACAUUAUAAAUUUAGUUGCCCUCUUCCCAUCAGACACCCCAGCGGCAUAGUUGGUCAGUGUGGUGACGGCCAAUGCCUCCUCCUCCGAGAUGUUCCACUCCUUCACCUUUAUCGUCUCUCGCAGAAUUACCACUUUGAAGGUGUCGGUGUACAGCUUCUCUGUCCUUCUGUUGAAAGCCAUUUUCUGAAAAUACAUACAAGAGAAAAAAAACAGUUUUUAGAGGCAAGUUUAAUAUUCAAGCUAAGAUUAAAUAAGUAAAAGCACACCCUAGUAGCAUAUAAAGUUACGCGUAAAGAACGACCCAGAUAAUAAAGAUAUCACGUUGUUGUCCCCUCCUGCCAACAGAGGGCGCCCCCCUCUUUUCGCGUCUAUUUAAGAGAUGAAAUGAUGCUGUUACAGAAGUUCCGGAGUUACUGCUGCAGACAGAAGCGUGCAUGCUGCAUGGGAGCACGACGGUCUUAUCCAACGGCCCUUUUAACGUCCAUCGCAAGCAGCUGUGUUCAGUAUUUUAAGUGACUCCUGAAGUUAGUUUAUUCGCUCUGUGCUUACAAUUCCAAACAACGGUUGGUAAAGGCUACUGUUAACAUUAGCAUAGAUAAGACUAGCUCCGUUGAAGUAGGCCAGUUAGACCUCCCCCGUCCACGAGGCAGACGCUAACGGAGCAUAGCAUGUGGCGCAUUCAGCAAAGAUAACUAAGACAGAUCUUGCUUGCAUCAAAUGCUGCUUUGAGGGUCACUCAACACGGAUGCUUCCUGUUGCAUCCAGGAGGCCACCGGACCACUCACCACAGGAGCUGAUGCACAUUCUUCUGCUGAACUUUACACCGUUGUCCCACCAUCCACUGAACUGAACACCAUUCAGACUCAUGGCUUUAUCAGCAGUGACAUGCGUGUGGUGUGUAGAGACUCCAACGGUUGUGUCAGUGUUCUCUCGCUAACGGCGCCGGGGCUAGAGACCACGGCCCAGUGGAAGGCUCUGAGGCCUGGAUCACAGCCAUCUCCUUCUAGGACACCCAGCUGCUCUACUCAGCAAGCUGAAAGGCUGGGACCCCAGGAUGGAGCUCUCCUCUCCCACUUUCACCAGCAAGAGGUAAAUAAACAGCCCUAGCUAGCUCACUAAUUACCUAUCUUAGCCUUUUGGAGAAAACGCCACUUUCUGACUCUUAAAACCUAUGUUGGGUCAUCUGCUGUCUCACCUCCGUUUCAGUUAAGAAGUCAUAGAAUAGGUAUUUAGAUAUUUGAUAUUUUUUAUAUUAGUAAAGUGAGGAUCUAAAAAUGUAACAUAUCACGUUUCGGAUGAUCACAGAGGGGUAUAUGCACUACACGUCUACCAAAUAUCUUGUCAGGACAAUGCCAAUGUCAAUCAAUAUACUGAAAUAACACGAGGUUUACUAAUUUUCUUAUGCUUACUGCACAUCUUGAUAUCUUUUAAUAACAUAAUUAUAAGGAAAUCAUUAACAAAUUGACACACUUGUACGUUCAGUAAUAUGGCCGUCUGGUCAACCUCGG